RNAcentral lists this ribosomal RNA (468 nucleotides) under uncultured bacterium. RNAcentral describes it as "partial 16S ribosomal RNA". It matches the Rfam family "Bacterial small subunit ribosomal RNA", at positions 28 to 507 of the family's 1533-position model. The record is from RNAcentral.
GACGAACGCUGGCGGCGUGCUUAACACAUGCAAGUCGAACGGAAAGGCCCUGCUUUUGUGGGGUGCUCGAGUGGCGAACGGGUGAGUAACACGUGAGUAACCUGCCCUUAACUUUGGGAUAACUUCAGGAAACUGGGGCUAAUACCGGAUAGGAGCUCCUGCUGCAUGGAGGGGGUUGGAAAGUUUCGGCGGUUGGGGAUGGACUCGCGGCUUAUCAGCUUGUUGGUGGGGUAGUGGCUUACCAAGGCUUUGACGGGUAGCCGGCCUGAGAGGGUGACCGGCCACAUUGGGACUGAGAUACGGCCCAGACUCCUACGGGAGGCAGCAGUGGGGAAUAUUGCACAAUGGGCGGAAGCCUGAUGCAGCAACGCCGCGUGCGGGAUGACGGCCUUCGGGUUGUAAACCGCUUUCGCCUGUGACGAAGCGUGAGUGACGGUAAUGGGUAAAGAAGCACCGGCUAACUACGUG